GCUGUUGAUAAUAAGGAGAUAAACAAUCUAGACAAAUAUUGAAUAUUCAAGAUUCGGUCAUGGAAAAUAAUAGCUGCGAUAGAAUCAGGGGCGACGAUGAUAAUGCGAAUUGUACACAGUAAAUUAGCUUUUGGAGAUAAGAAUUGAUUUAUUAUAGUGCGAAAGUUUCCAGUGUUGCACUCUAGGAUUGCCCAACAUUCGUUAGAAUCUCUUAAAAAACCACACAACAAACUCCCGAGGUUGUUAUAAGUCAAACCCAACAGCAAACAAUGGAAAUAGUACCAUGUGCCAAUAGGCGGGCGCCAGACAGGGAUUGUCCACAUCCUGAAUAAUCACUGAAGGGAUGGGCAUGGUCCGGACAGUGCCAAAAGUGACGCAAGAAAGGUGCCUCUUAACGUGGUAAAAGGGUGCAACUUACUGCGCCUACAUAGAAUUGUGCUGGUCUGUAUGCCGCAUUACGGAGACCUUGGUAGCCCUGUUCCAGUUCGGUGUAGGACAUGAUACCAGGGGGACAUGCUAGGCCUGCCACACGCCCUUUCCUUCAAUUUAUUGCGUUUGGAUGCCAAAGCUGUUGAGCAGGUCAAGGUACGAGUAUUGAUUGCCAAGUUUUCGCAAAACCAGACGACAUUCAAGCGGCAGCAACUGUGUUUGAUCCAGAACUAUGCGGCGCUUAGUAUAGCAGCACUUCGGCGGAAAAUAGCUAUUUUUUUUUAAAUAUUUUGGAUAAAUUCAAUCGCGAAUCAAAUCCAAUAUUGUGGUUAGUGUCUUUAUUAGAGGUUAGAGGUUAGAGCUGACACUUGGAAGUCCACAACGUUGCCAAUCAGUUUUAAUAUCAACUGAAUUUUUCCAACCACCGCAAAUCUACAAAGUGUGUUUGUGCGGUUGUUUGAUUUUCGGUUAGUGGACGGUAAACGCUCUUUAAUUUGAAUCGAUAUAUUUAAUAGAGAGUUAUUGGACAUGCUAAA
This is a long non-coding RNA of Dendroctonus ponderosae (mountain pine beetle), 965 nucleotides long. RefSeq lists it as uncharacterized. The record is from RefSeq and is a predicted model, not a curated record. NCBI's taxonomy places the organism in Eukaryota, Metazoa, Arthropoda, Insecta, Coleoptera, Curculionidae. The transcript has 2 exons.